This 137-nucleotide ribosomal RNA is filed under the name uncultured bacterium. Its description in RNAcentral is "partial 16S ribosomal RNA". It matches the Rfam family "Bacterial small subunit ribosomal RNA", at positions 355 to 509 of the family's 1533-position model. The record is from RNAcentral.
UGGGGAAUAUUGGACAAUGGGGGCAACCCUGAUCCAGCCAUGCCGCGUGAGUGAUGAAGGCCUUCGGGUUGUAAAGCUCUUUUGGCGGGGACGAUGAUGACGGUACCCGCAGAAUAAGCCCCGGCUAACUUCGUGCC